AUUUUCUUUCUCUCUUUUCUGCUCCUGCCUCUCUCCCUUUUUUUUCUUCAAUGAAAAUUCACAGAUAAUCAUAUGUGCUCAGUUGGAUUUCGAUUUCACAUCUCUUUUUAUUAUCAUAUGUGUUAUGGGUUCUUGUUUUAGAUCGGUAAUAUCCUUUUCAUGUUGAUGAUUAUGAUGAAAAAACGACAGUUUAUACUGUUUUCUUACCUAUCCUUGAAAGAGCCUUCAGAUCUUUUCUUCAAGGAACGCAGAUUAUGAGUUGGAGGUCUGUUUGGUGUUGAAAUCAACAAGCAGUCAUUGAUGAUUGUAUCUAUUCCUAAUAUCAUAUGUUGGCUAUCCAUUUCAUUUUCCAAAGAUUCAUUGUUUUUAUACAUGGGAAGGUUAUUGGAAGGAUUUGGCGUGGGAGUCAUUUAAUACUGUAUAGUGAUGUGGUUACUUAUUGCGAUCUGUUUCCUCAAAUUCUAGUUUGUAUGAAGAUGAUAGAAGUUGUAUGACAUGGCUGGACAAACAGCCAGAGAAAUUUUUGUUUGCCAUAUGAGAGAACCUAGUGAAUGUACAAGGCCAGAUGAAUGCCAAAAAGACCAGCUCGAGAAGGUGAAAUAAGACAUUCAACAACUUAAAAAUAAUCCUCAUGGGUUACUUUUCGAAGCGCCUCAUUCUACGUGAUACACUUGUGCACUGGCGAAUCCCCUUUUAGCUCCUGAAAAUGCUGUAGAUAGAUUAAAUGGAGAGCUCUUGGAGAACUUUUUUGCUGAAAAUACAUAGUUCCUGGUAUUGUACUUUCUGGGUAUGGACUUGAACACGAGGAGAUACUAUCUAUUGCAAAGCCACUUCUAUCUGACCUUCCUGCUGUUUCUCAUCCUAUGAAGCCAAAGUCUGUGUAUAUUGCCUUCCCUACAGGUUGCUCUCUGAAUUGGUUUGCAUCUAAUUGGACACCGACUGUUAGAUGGAUGUCUAUGAGAAGAUGCAGGGUAUUUGAUUAAGUCAUAAUAUAAAAGAUUGGGUUUGAGUUCAAUUCUGGAUUUGGCAGCAAGAUGAGUUGUGUCGUUCAGUUUUUUUGUUAAUGGAGACAAUAAGGGAGUCUGUGUUGCUAUUGGUUGAGAUUCAGAUGAAGAAGGAAGUGAAGGAUGGGUUUUUUUUCUCCGGUGAGCCGAUUUUUUCAUUUUGUGUUUCAAAUUUCGCCUUAAUUUGUUUUUUGUUGGUGUUGUUUAGGCUUCUGGGAUACUACUGGGAGCAGUUACUUUACCUUCUGUUCUGCUCUCUUGGUUUAUGCAACUGUCGAGAGCGGUCGAAUCCAAAGAUGUCAGUCUUCAAGAGCUUCAUUAUUUAAUUGUUCAAUUUCGGUUCGCACAUAGAGGUGAAAUUAUUUCGGGUGUUCUGUCAUGGAUUAGCAGCGGUGAGGUUAAUUCAGCACUUCCUUCACACUUUUCCAUCAUGCACUUCCAUAGUAUAAUGAACUGAGGCAUGGAUAAUGUACACUAUAUUGAGCUGCCACUUAUGAACUCUGAACUUCCUUAGGGUUUGUAUCAAGCCAACCAAGGAUGCUUUGCUCCAAUUUUUUGUUUUAUUACUUCCUGUGAUUAUCUUGAUGACAAAAGUUUUGCGCAUCCUAAAAGGGUCCAGAAACUUGUGAAGAAGUUUGCCUUUGAUGGUUCAGCCUGUUGCCUUCCACAUCCUGCAGUGAAAUUUCUGAAGUUGAGCAUCACAUUCCUCCAGCAUUAGCAUAUGGACCGGAACCUGCAUGAUGUGGCCAUAUGUAGCAUAUGUAUGCUCCUCUGAAGUUGUAGAGAUCAAGAUGGAUAAAUGCAAAAACAAAACUAGAAUGCAUUGUAUUUCAGCAUGGCUAUAGAGAAAUCGACUUCUCUGCAGAUGAUUUAGCCAAGAGAGAAGCAACAUUAAAAGUUGGUGAAAGAAUGGUAUACUCUGGAAGACCUGCUUUUUUGAAAAGAGUAGAAAUGCCUAAUGUAGUCUAUUACAGGUUUUGUUAGGUUUUCAUUUUUAUGUCUUUUUCAUGUUCUUAUUAUUUUUUAUGAUGUAAAACUUUUGUAAUUUGGCCAUUCAAUUAAUAAAUAUAUGUGAUUAAGCAAA
Molecule: long non-coding RNA, 2088 nt
Organism: Papaver somniferum (opium poppy)
Lineage: Eukaryota; Viridiplantae; Streptophyta; Magnoliopsida; Ranunculales; Papaveraceae
Exons: 12
Source: RefSeq, a predicted model, not a curated record